This 253-nucleotide ribosomal RNA is filed under the name uncultured bacterium. RNAcentral's name for it is "partial 16S ribosomal RNA". It matches the Rfam family "Bacterial small subunit ribosomal RNA", at positions 524 to 776 of the family's 1533-position model. The record is from RNAcentral.
UACGAAGGGGGCUAGCGUUGUUCGGAAUUACUGGGCGUAAAGGGCGCGUAGGCGGCGUGUCAAGUCAGGCGUGAAAGUCCCGGGCUCAACCUGGGAACCGCGCUUGAGACUGGCAUGCUCGAGUUCGGGAGAGGAUGGUGGAAUUCCCAGUGUAGAGGUGAAAUUCGUAGAUAUUGGGAAGAACACCGAUGGCGAAGGCAGCCAUCUGGACCGACACUGACGCUGAGGCGCGAAAGCGUGGGGAGCAAACAGG